Molecule: long non-coding RNA, 1096 nt
Organism: Mangifera indica (mango)
Lineage: Eukaryota; Viridiplantae; Streptophyta; Magnoliopsida; Sapindales; Anacardiaceae
Exons: 2
Source: RefSeq, a predicted model, not a curated record
GCCAGUGGUGGGAGCCAAUUGUCUGGGUAAUGUUGUGGUUAGGUAGCAUUGGUUGAUUGGCCAUCAAUUCACUGGCCAGUCAGAAUCUGAACCAAUCUCAUUUAUAUACAUAUACAUACAUGCCCGUCUCUCUUACAUUUUUAUCUCUCAUAAUCAGAAGUUUACAAAAGAUUCAGAAGUUGGCAUAUAUAUGCUGCAAAUUAGGGUUGAGAUAAUGAUGAGUUCCCUAAGGUGAUGAUCCUUUUUGUGAUCUUCCACAGCUUUCUUGAACUGUAGAAAUAGAAAUUGAGCUGAAACAAUUCAAGAAAGCUGUGUAAAAUUACCGAGAGGAUUUGAUGAUGACAAAAACAUAUGUCUCCAGCGGCAGUAAGAGGCUUUUCAUAUUAUUUUUGUUGUGGAUUCCUUUCAAUGAGAAGAAGAGUGUUGGUGGUCAGAUCAAUAACAAAGGCUAUAAUGAUUGAACUUGUAUGAAGUCAUGGCAUAAAUAAGCUACAGGUUGAAACAUUUCUGCAGAGAUCCGUUUCAUGUCAGAUCUUCCAUAAUUUAGGUUUCUUUGCAGCAUCUCAGAAGAUCGGUAUGAUUCUGAUUCAUCUGGGCUGGAACAGCAGCAUCUUUUGUUUUAUCUUACAGAAAAGUGCAAGAGAAACAUUCUCAUGAUGGAAUAUUGAUUAAUUUCAAAAGCAAAGUGAUUAACAUGCAUGCGAUUCAUGGCUGAUCGAGCACUGAAAUAUCCACAUGGACACGAUGUAUUGCAGAAACUAGGUUGAAUUAAUUGCAGCUGAUGGGGCAAUGUAAGUGUUUUCACUUUGCAUUAACAUGUACUAUUAGUGGGAUUGUCCACAAAGUGCCCGUGCUAGCUGAAAGGUACCAAAGUGGAGAUGCUUGCCCUGGCACUUAUAUAUACAUAGUCGAACGAAAGUCUCUCAAUCGGGUUUUCGGAUGGGCAAAUUUAGAGAACUACAUAGACCGAAAACCUUCUCAAAGUGCUGCAAAAGCUAGCUUAACAUCGUCCUUACUAUUAUCAAAUCAUAAGAGGAGAGGGCAGUUGAUCUUUAUAAAAUGAAAAUAAUAAGAAUAUUGAUGCAUUUGAAUGACA